RNAcentral lists this ribosomal RNA (257 nucleotides) under Escherichia coli. Its description in RNAcentral is "partial 23S ribosomal RNA". It matches the Rfam family "Bacterial large subunit ribosomal RNA", at positions 1131 to 1387 of the family's 2925-position model. The record is from RNAcentral. Lineage: Bacteria; Pseudomonadati; Pseudomonadota; Gammaproteobacteria; Enterobacterales; Enterobacteriaceae.
AGCGUAAUAGCUCACUGGUCGAGUCGGCCUGCGCGGAAGAUGUAACGGGGCUAAACCAUGCACCGAAGCUGCGGCAGCGACACUGUGUGUUGUUGGGUAGGGGAGCGUUCUGUAAGCCUGUGAAGGUGUACUGUGAGGUAUGCUGGAGGUAUCAGAAGUGCGAAUGCUGACAUAAGUAACGAUAAAGCGGGUGAAAAGCCCGCUCGCCGGAAGACCAAGGGUUCCUGUCCAACGUUAAUCGGGGCAGGGUGAGUCGA